GUACGAAUCCGACUCGUAAUCGUAGAUCAGCUCCGUUACGGUGAAUACGUACUCGGUGCUGUAGCAGCACCGCCCGACACACCAUGGGAGCUGCAAGCCUGAGUUU
This 106-nucleotide ribosomal RNA is filed under the name Mycoplasmopsis synoviae. RNAcentral describes it as "Mycoplasma synoviae partial 16S ribosomal RNA". Lineage: Bacteria; Bacillati; Mycoplasmatota; Mycoplasmoidales; Metamycoplasmataceae. The record is from RNAcentral.